AUUGAACGCUGGCGGCAUGCUUUACACAUGCAAGUCGAACGGCAGCGCGGGCUUCGGCCUGGCGGCGAGUGGCGAACGGGUGAGUAAUACAUCGGAACGUGCCCAGUAGUGGGGGAUAGCUCGGCGAAAGCCGGAUUAAUACCGCAUACGACCUGAGGGUGAAAGCGGGGGAUCUUCGGACCUUGCGCUAUUGGAGCGGCCGAUGGGGGAUUAGCUAGUUGGUGGGGUAAAGGCCUACCAAGGCGACGAUCUGUAGCUGGUCUGAGAGGACGACCAGCCACACUGGAACUGAGACACGGCCCAGACUCCUACGGGAGGCAGCAGUGGGGAAUUUUGGACAAUGGGCGAAAGCCUGAUCCAGCAAUGCCGCGUGUGUGAUGAAGGCCUUCGGGUUGUAAAGCACUUUUGGCGGGAACGAAAAGGACUGUGCCAAUACCACGGUUCGAUGACGGUACCCGCAGAAUAAGCACCGGCUAACUACGUG
This 484-nucleotide ribosomal RNA is filed under the name uncultured bacterium. Its description in RNAcentral is "partial 16S ribosomal RNA". It matches the Rfam family "Bacterial small subunit ribosomal RNA", at positions 29 to 507 of the family's 1533-position model. The record is from RNAcentral.